Molecule: long non-coding RNA, 210 nt
Filed under: Carica papaya (papaya)
Lineage: Eukaryota; Viridiplantae; Streptophyta; Magnoliopsida; Brassicales; Caricaceae
Description: long non-coding RNA (CPAP_LNC005329)
Source: RNAcentral
AAGUCUUAUGAUAUUAUUUAAACAUUAUUUUUCUUACGAGUAUAUGAAACUCACCCCUUCCUAUGCUCCCCUUCCAGAUGAGGAAGAUAGUGAGGAACUGAUCACUAACUUGCUCCUAGAAGCCUUUGAGGAUCCCGUGGAUCCAUGAUCUUUUAUGAGUGCAUAAUUGUCUCGCACUCUGAUGAGUCCAUCUUUUGUAGAGGCUUAUAA